RNAcentral lists this transfer RNA (363 nucleotides) under Microcystis sp. BG05. Its description in RNAcentral is "16S-23S ribosomal RNA intergenic spacer". The stretch from base 135 to 208 matches the Rfam family "tRNA". Lineage: Bacteria; Bacillati; Cyanobacteriota; Cyanophyceae; Chroococcales; Microcystaceae. The record is from RNAcentral.
AAGGGAGACCUAAUUCAGGUAGGGGACGAAAAAAAAGUAGUCCCUACCAAGAAUCAAUCCCAAAAGGUCGGAGCGAGGCAAAAUUGGCUUUCAAACUAGGUUCUGGGUUCACACAAGACCUGAAUCAGGAACAAGGGCUAUUAGCUCAGGUGGUUAGAGCGCACCCCUGAUAAGGGUGAGGUCCCUGGUUCGAGUCCAGGAUGGCCCACCUGUACAGGUGGCAAAAAGAAAGAAAAGAAGCGAGGAAUCAGCACCUUAUCUUACUUAUAUAGUAAGAGAGAAUGCUGGCUCUGAGUUCAGAGUCCAGAGGAACCUUGAAAACUGCAUAGAGCUAGGUGAAAAAGCCAAAAAAGAAGACCGCAA